This 155-nucleotide small nuclear RNA is filed under the name Erinaceus europaeus (western European hedgehog). Its description in RNAcentral is "U1 spliceosomal RNA (ENSEEUG00000022960.1)". The record is from RNAcentral. Lineage: Eukaryota; Metazoa; Chordata; Mammalia; Eulipotyphla; Erinaceidae.
UUUUUUACCUCACAGGAGAGAGAGCAUUACUGUGAAAAUUGUCCUAGGGUGAGCCUUACCCGCGCACUCCGGAUGUGCUGCCUCUUGCCAUUUCCCCAAAUGUGGGGAACCCAGUUAUAUAAUUUCUGGUAGUUCAUGAGUUUUCAGCUCAAGUU